Steroidobacter denitrificans is the source of this 116-nucleotide ribosomal RNA. The record is from Rfam. Lineage: Bacteria; Pseudomonadati; Pseudomonadota; Gammaproteobacteria; Steroidobacterales; Steroidobacteraceae.
CCUGGCGGCAAUAGCAAGCGGGAACCACCCGAUCCCAUAUCGAACUCGGAAGUGAAAACGCUGUGCGCCGAUGGUAGUGUGCCCUUCGGGCAUGCAAGAGUAGGUCACUGCCAGGC